Molecule: long non-coding RNA, 3005 nt
Filed under: Equus caballus (horse)
Lineage: Eukaryota; Metazoa; Chordata; Mammalia; Perissodactyla; Equidae
Description: lncRNA (ENSECAG00000050622.1)
Source: RNAcentral
GCGGGCCUCGGUGGGGCGGGCCUCGGUGGGGCGGGGCCUCUGUGGGGGCGGGGCGUAAAACCCACCUCUGACCCGCUGGAAACGCACCUGUCUCAGGUGCCCUCCGCUCCCACCUUAUGGCGGUUUCUCUGCGCUUUCAUCUCCAGGUUUUAUUCAAGAGGGCCCCCACACUCCCAGGUUGCUCUUCCAUGAGUGCAAGGACACAGUGUGGGGCACCAAGCUCAAGACGGCCCCUGGACCUGGAUGCCGGCAAACAGACCCAGGUGUGGGCGCCCUUCUUUCACACCAGCCGAGCACCUUGGCUCCCGAGAAAUGUGGCUGCAGCAGGAGAUCCCCGCUGUUAGCCCUGCCCCCACGACGGCCUGACUUCCAAGGUCUCCCCAAAUUUCCAAAUACAUUUUCUGGUGCCACCCAGCCUGAAAUUAAGCCAACUCCCAACAUAUUCUCCAAAUUUGGUGAAAAUCUAACCCUUUUCUUAGGACAAGACCAGAAAACUUGAUUUGUUUACGUGAUGGAAUGACUGCUCCAAGAUUGAUUAUGGAUUAUUUGCAUCAACAAAAGCAUGAAAAAAAUUUAAGCGAGGAAUCCCAGGCAGGAAAGAAACAGAAAUGCUUCCUCAUCAGUUUUAACAGCAAACAGUCUUUGAGUCACCAAGACCCUGAGGGUUCCUAGCUAAGGACUCAGACGGCUUACAGCGUCUAUCCCGCGUGGACUCUGAUUUUCUUCCAAGGUAACUGGGAGCCUGAGAAUUCCUUGAUCUGCUCUGCUAAUGGUGUCACAUGACGAUGAAGUGAGUCACUGUCAGCACACCUCUCUAAGCCUGACAAGCACCUGCCUGCAGUGAAGGAGGGACACAGCGCCUCCUGCAGACGGCGCCCUGUGGCUGCCCAUUCAUUUUGCUAUUCUCAGAAUUGCACUGCAAAGUGUUUUGUAGCUUUCAAAUUUUAAACAGUUCUUCCCGUGGGAUUUUAUUUCCCAAGAAAAGAAAUCUCUCGCAGGUGAUCUGACAGCUCCAAAUCUAUGAAGACAACGUGCUUGGUUUCCUCAGAUGCUACAUUAAAACCCGUCUCCGUUCAGAACUGGCCACAAUGUUAUCUUGUAUUCAGUCUGGAGGAAGAAAAUCAAGGAAAGGAGCAGGUGCUUCGGUGUAGCUCAUUUCCUUGGACAGCACUUCUUCCAUUCAGAUAGAGCUCCGUUGGUCCUUCCCCAACUGCACCCUGAUGAGCCAUUUCUGCCUGAGUCCCCACAGCGCUGUGAGCUCAGAAAGGCGGGCUGGGGGCUCGGGUCCUAUUCACGGCCCACUGCAGCGUUUGCUGGGUAUGAUCCCAUGUGAUCCGUACUAAACGUCGGAUGAAUGAACAAGAAUUCGCUCCUUCAAACCUGAGUCUCCACUGCCACUGAAGUUGUAUUUAAUAUUCUUAUUUGCAUUAUGCUUGGGUUCAAACGGAGGUGUUCCCCAUCACUCCCAGAGGCUCUCCCGCCUGCCAGGAGUCCCUGCUUCACCCAUAUCAGCGGCUCCAGCCAUUCUGGUGACUUUUCUGUGCUCCAGGAUCCCUCUUGUCUUAGUCUGUUUGGCUGCUGUAACAAAACACCAUAGACGGGGCAGCUUAAACAACAGACAUUUAUGUCUCACAGUUCUGGAGACUGGAAGUCUGAGAUCAGAGUGCCAGCAUGUUGGGUUCUGGUGAGGACCUGCUUCCUGCCUUGUAGACAGCUCCGUUCUCGCUCUGUCCUCCUGUGGUUUUUCCUGUGCAUAUGCUGGAGAGAGAGCUCCCUCUCUUCCUUUCCUUAUAAGGGCGCUAAUCCCAUCACGAGAACCCCACCCUCAGGACCUCUUCUGAACUAUCACCUCCCAAAGACCCCCCUCCCAAUACCAUCACACUGGGGGUUGGGGCUUCAACAGGCAUUUCAGGGAGGCACAGACAUUCAGUCUCUAACGCCUCCUGCUGAAGAGCCCGUGGUGGCCCGAGGAGGGCACUCCAUGCGAGGGCCUCUCCACUAGCUCCUCCCUGCUACUGGGCACCACUACCCAUUAGUGAGUAGGUUUCUGGAGGUCCGUCUACAAGAUGGCCCUGGAGAGAUUUCCCAAAUGGACCCACGGGGUUCUGCUUCAGAGUGGAGGAGGGAACUCCCACGAGAGGGACCCCCCAACCCCUCCAACAGAUGACAGUGAUAAACUUGGGACAGAAUGCGAAAAACGACUCCUGAGCUCUCUGAAGAGGAUGAAAACAGGACUACUUUGGAGGGGGGUGAAAACUUGCAGGGAGCACCCAGCAAGGUGCAGGUUCCCCUUUCUGCUGCUUUUCUCUGAGGACAAGCACAGUUGCAGUGUGGGGCAGGUGGCUAAACAUCUGAGGGAAAGGUCUCUCUGCCAUCUGUCUGGCUGGAGUGAGCAGGGAAGGAGUCCAGGGGAACCAGGGCAGCUGGACAGUGAAGGAGGAAGGCCAGGCAGGACAGCCAGACAGGGGCAACCCCAAAUCCUGUGUGUAAACUCUGCCCAAGCCUUGCUGACCCUCAGGCCACAUGCUUGGGGCAGACAGAGGCAGUCUACACUGAGACACAGAGCUGCAGUUAAGUUCACCACGUGAGUUGACCACUAAAAUGAAACCAUCAACACUCUUCAGAGAAUAUAACAGAAUUCAGAGUCUCCACAGCAUAACAUUCACAAUGUCCCAGAUAGAAUCUAAAAUUACUCAACCAGGAGAAUAUGACGUGCUCUGAAGGGAAACGACAGUCAACAGAGCCAGCCUCGAGAUGACCCUGACUCAUUGGAAUUGUCAGACAAUGACUUGAAGAAGCUAUUGUCACUACGCUUAGUUAGGCAAAUUCUCUCAUGAUGAGUGAGGCGAUAUGGAAUCUCAGCCGACAGAUAGCAAAUAUAGAAAAGAACCAAAUGGAAAUUUUAGAACUGAAGAAUAUAUCUGAAAAAAUUUUAAAAUCACUGGAAGGAGCUUAAUGGUAGGAUCAAGGUAAUGGAGGAAAGACGAAGUGAACUUGAAGACAGA